UGGGGAAUCUUCCGCAAUGGACGAAAGUCUGACGGAGCAACGCCGCGUGAGUGAUGACGGCCUUCGGGUUGUAAAGCUCUGUUAAUCGGGACGAAUGGUUCUUGUGCGAAUAGUGCAAGGAUUUGACGGUACCGGAAUAGAAAGCCACGGCUAACUACGUGCCAGCAGCCGCGGUAAUACGUAGGUGGCAAGCGUUGUCCGGAAUUAUUGGGCGUAAAGCGCGCGCAGGCGGAUUGGUCAGUCUGUCUUAAAAGUUCGGGGCUUAACCCCGGGAUGAGAUGGAAACUGCCAAUCUAGAGUAUCGGAGAGGAAAGUGGAAUUCCUAGUGUAGCGGUGAAAUGCGUAGAUAUUAGGAAGAACACCAGUGGCGAAGGCGACUUUCUGGACGAAAACUGACGCUGAGGCGCGAAAGCCAGGGGAGCGAACGGG
Molecule: ribosomal RNA, 429 nt
Filed under: bacterium
Lineage: Bacteria
Description: partial 16S ribosomal RNA
Rfam family: Bacterial small subunit ribosomal RNA
Source: RNAcentral